GAGCGGGGUGAUGGUGCUUGCACUAUCACUUAGCGGCGGACGGGUGAGUAAUGCUUAGGAAUCUGCCUAUUAGUGGGGGACAACAUCUCGAAAGGGAUGCUAAUACCGCAUACGUCCUACGGGAGAAAGCAGGGGAUCACUUGUGACCUUGCGCUAAUAGAUGAGUCCUUAAGUUCGAAUUAGGCUAAGUUGGUGGGGUAAAGGCCUAGCCAAGGCGACGAUCUGUAGCGGGUCUGAGAGGAUGAUCCGCCACACUGGGACUGAGACACGACCCAGACUCCUACGGGAGGCAGCAGUGGGGAAUAUUGGACAAUGGGGGCAACCCUGAUCCAGCCAUGCCGCGUGUGUGAAGAAGGCCUUAUGGUUGUAAAGCACUUUAAGCGAGGAGGAGGCUCUUUUGGUUAAUACCCAGGAUGAGUGGACGUUACUCGCAGAAUAAGCACCGGCUAACUCUGUGCCAGCAGCCGCGGUAAUACAGAGGGUGCAAGCGUUAAUCGGAUUUACUGGGCGUAAAGCGCGCGUAGGCGGCCAAUUAAGUCAAAUGUGAAAUCCCCGAGCUUAACUUGGGAAUUGCAUUCGAUACUGGUUGGCUAGAGUGUGGGAGAGGAUGGUAGAAUUCCAGGUGUAGCGGUGAAAUGCGUAGAGAUCUGGAGGAAUACCGAUGGCGAAGGCAGCCAUCUGGCCUAACACUGACGCUGAGGUGCGAAAGCAUGGGGAGCAAACAGGAUUAGAUACCCUGGUAGUCCAUGCCGUAAACGAUGUCUACUAGCCGUUGGGGCCUUUGAGGCUUUAGUGGCGCAGCUAACGCGAUAAGUAGACCGCCUGGGGAGUACGGUCGCAAGACUAAAACUCAAAUGAAUUGACGGGGGCCCGCACAAGCGGUGGAGCAUGUGGUUUAAUUCGAUGCAACGCGAAGAACCUUACCUGGCCUUGACAUAGUAGAAACUUUCCAGAGAUGGAUUGGUGCCUUCGGGAAUCUACAUACAGGUGCUGCAUGGCUGUCGUCAGCUCGUGUCGUGAGAUGUUGGGUUAAGUCCCGCAACGAGCCGCAACCCUUUUCCUUACUUGCCAGCAUUUCGGAUGGGAACUUUAAGGAUACUGCCAGUGACAAACUGGAGGGAAGGCGGGGACGACGUCAAGUCAUCAUGGCCCUAACGGCCAGGGCUACACCACGUGCUACAAUGGUCGGUACAAAGGGUUGCUACCUAGCCAUAGGAAUGCUAAUCUCAAAAAGCCGAUUCGUAGUCCGAAUUGGGAGAUCUGGCAACU
RNAcentral lists this ribosomal RNA (1269 nucleotides) under Acinetobacter sp. P4604. RNAcentral describes it as "bacterial SSU rRNA". It matches the Rfam family "Bacterial small subunit ribosomal RNA", at positions 64 to 1312 of the family's 1533-position model. The record is from RNAcentral. Lineage: Bacteria; Pseudomonadati; Pseudomonadota; Gammaproteobacteria; Moraxellales; Moraxellaceae.